GACGAACGCUGGCGGCGUGCCUAAUACAUGCAAGUAGAACGCUGAAGGAGGAGCUUGCUCUUCUGGAUGAGUUGCGAACGGGUGAGUAACGCGUAGGUAACCUGCCUGGUAGCGGGGGAUAACUAUUGGAAACGAUAGCUAAUACCGCAUAACAGUAGAUGUUGCAUGACAUUUACUUAAAAGGUGCAAUUGCAUCACUACCAGAUGGACCUGCGUUGUAUUAGCUAGUUGGUGGGGUACGGCUCACCAAGGCGACGAUACAUAGCCGACCUGAGAGGGUGAUCGGCCACACUGGGACUGAGACACGGCCCAGACUCCUACGGGAGGCAGCAGUAGGGAAUCUUCGGCAAUGGACGGAAGUCUGACCGAGCAACGCCGCGUGAGUGAAGAAGGUUUUCGGAUCGUAAAGCUCUGUUGUAAGAGAAGAACGAGUGUGAGAGUGGAAAGUUCACACUGUGACGGUAUCUUACCAGAAAGGGACGGCUAACUACGU
This 493-nucleotide ribosomal RNA is filed under the name uncultured bacterium. RNAcentral describes it as "partial 16S ribosomal RNA". It matches the Rfam family "Bacterial small subunit ribosomal RNA", at positions 28 to 506 of the family's 1533-position model. The record is from RNAcentral.